UAAUACUUCAUUGAUUUAUUUAGCAAUGCAUGUAAAAAGUUAAAUUUUAGAAUGUAUUUAAAACUACUACCCAUUUUUGACUUUUAAAAAUCACUUUUUUAAUCAUUUGAAUUCUAAGAUGAAUGAGGAAACAAAUCAAACAUAAACUUCAAACACAGUCCAUUUUGUUAAGUCUCAAGAAACAGUAGAAAAAUGUCCCAGUCAAAUUACAAUAAAAACACAAAACAAUAAAGCCUUCUUACUCAGCAGCUACCUACUAUGUUUAACAGGCUUAAAACAAAAUGUGUCAAAGAUCAAGAGUAAGUUAUCUGAGAUGUUAAGUUCAUAAGGUCAAAGGUACAAUUUUAUUAGGUCAGAGGUAAUAUAAAUAAAAUCUUACAUGUCAAAGAAGAAAGGUCACAGACAAGGUGUAUAUAAUAUAAAGACAUCAUAGAUGACAAGUAAUAACUUUAAGUAGAACAAGUAUGUUUACUAUAGAUACCCUCUACUGAUUAAAAAAAUGAAACUUCCAUGAGAGUAGUAGAAAAUAACCUUUUUAUAUCACAUAAUUCAUAUGCUAUAUUAUACACUUGUUUUCAGGAAGAAGAGGCUAUAACCAAGAAUAACAACAUGAAUUAAGUUAGAACUUUAAGAAAAUUUAAUUCCUUCAAACUGAAACAGUACACAAAAUGAACACACCAAUCAAAUCUCAAACCAUAAUGGCUAAACAUAAGACUGCUAUGGCUACAAAAAUUAGAUAAUAUUGCACAUUUUUCUUCCGAAGUGCGUGAAUCCUAUUAUUUCCUUCUAACCUUUUCUCACUGAAAUAAAAACAUGCGAAAUUUAUAUUUCAGUUUACAUAAUACCAUAUUCCAGAAAAAUUGUUAAGUUUUUUUUGUAAAUUAAAUAAUAUUUUUAGCUGUUUUAUUAAUGGAAAUUAAUUACAAAUAAUUUUUUUUGAGAUCGAGUCUCACUCUUGUCGCCCAGGCUAGAGUGCAAUGGCACAAUCUCAGCUCACUGCAACCUCCGGCUUCUGUGUUCAAGCAAUUCUCCUGCCUCAGCCUCUGAAGUAGCUGGAAUUACAGGCGCGCGUCACCAUGCCCAGCUAAUUUUUGUAUAUUUAGUAGAGACAGGGUUUCACCAUGUCGGCCAGGCUGGUCUCGAACUCCCGACCUCAGGUGAUCCACCCACCUCAGCCUCCCAAAAUGCUGGGAUUACAGGCGUGAGCCACCGCGCCUGGCCACAAAUAAUUUUUAUAAAGGAAAGAAUAUCCUUUACAAUGGGAAUUAUUACAAGUAAUUGAGGCAAUUAAGGAUUUUUUUAAAAGUAGAGUACACAAAACAUGACUAUAGUUCUUAACAGAAAAUUCAAGUAGAAAAUGGGGGUAAUCAUGAAAGAUUUAAGUAAUAAAGAACUCCAUACUAUUCUCUCUUAAACUACUCAUACGAUUUGAGUAAAAGGCAGAAAAUUAUUUGAGGCAAACUAGAUUAUUAGUUCCAUGUUCCAUUUCAUUUGUAUUAAAAGCACUUAGAAUUUACGAAGGUGAAAUUGAGAGUUCUACUCCCAUGAUACCUUCGAGCCACUCUGUAUAAACUUUUCAUUUUGAUUCAACUCAAUGGACAUUUAUAAAUAACCUUAACUAUAUGUCAAGCAUUAUAUCAAACAUGAAUAUGCAAGGCUCAAACACUGGAGACUUUUAAUUAUAGCUACCGUGAACUGGCUUGUACUGGACUAAUCUAAUGCCAAAAGUUGUACAAAAUACCCAAAGCAACUAUUUGAAGGGAACAAAAGCCAACAUAGACAGGACUUGAAUGACUAUGAUGCCUAAAAAAAUGCAAGCACAUAAAAUUAGCUGUACAUUCAUUCUGGAUACUUCCUUCAGGGUUUAUGCCAAUUUUUGGCAUGGGAGAACAGUGCAAGCAGACAGUACCAGUCUUAGUGAGCUGAGGAGACAGAAUUUGAAGUUUAGAGCCAUCAAAGUGGUUAAAACUUGAGGAGCAAAAUUCUUCCAAGUUAAAAAAUCACAAAAAAAGUGAGCUCAGACUGGGCUAUAUUUUUGGUUCCAUAUGAAUUUUAGAAUAGUUUUUUCUAAUUCUGUGAAGAAUGUCAUUGGUAGUUUGAUAGGAAUAGCAUUGAAUCUGCAAAUUGCUUUGGGCCAUAUGCCCAUGUUAACAAUACUGACUCUUCCUAUCCAUGAGCAUGGAACAUUUUUGCAUUUGUUUGUGUUAUCUCUGGUAUCUUUGAGUAGUGUUUUGUAAUUCUCAUCUGUAGACAUCUUUCACCUUCCUGUUUAGCUGGAUUCCCAGAUUUUUUAUUCUUUUUGUAGCUAUUUUGAAUGAGACUGAGUUCUUGAUUUGGGUCUCAGCUUUGAUGUUGUUGCUGUGUAGAAACGCUACUGAUUUUUCUACAUUCAUUUUGUGUCCUGAAACUUCACUGAAGUUGUUUAUCAGAUCUAGGAGCUCUGGAGCAGACCCUUUUAGGUUUUCCAGGUAUAGAAUUAUAUAAUCUGCAAAGGGAGAUGGUUUCACUUUUUUCAUGCUAUUUGGAUGCCUCUGAUUCUUUCUCUUGCCUGACUGCUCUGGCUAGGCCUUCCAGUACUAUGUUGAAUAGGAGUGGCGAGAGUGGGAAUCCUUGUCUCGUUCCAGUUCUCAAGGGGAAUGCUUCUAGCUUUUGCCCCUCCACUAUGAUGUUGGCUGUGGGGUUGUCAUAGAUGGCUCUUCUUAUUUUGAGCUAUGUUCCUUCAAUUCUUAGUUUGUUGAGGGUUUUUAACAUGAAAGGAUGUUCCUUUCAUCUUCGAAAUUGCUGUCCUUUGGAUGAGGCUUUUUGUUUUUAUAUUCUUUGAUGCCCUUGAGGGUUUGACUGCAGUAUACACUGCACGUUCAGUGAACUGGCUCUGCUUCUGGAUGAUUUCAGCAGCGCUGGACUGCAUGCCCUGGGGGACUGAGACCAGGCCCAUGGCUUUGCUCUUAGGCACCUCAAAGUUAAGCACUUGCUGCGCUGGAGUGGCUAAGGUGUUCCUGGUCCGCUGGCAACAACACUUCAAUGGCGGGCGCUGGCAAAAUCACUUCAUCAACAUGGUGGUAUCAGGUUCAAGUGCACAGGCUAGCAGUCACAGGUUCCACAUGCACGCAGUUGCAGCUGGCAGAGUGUGAACAGUAUUCGCACACUGGUGAUGGCAGGGCAAUGGCAACGGAGUCCAUACCUGCACCGGUGCCAGUAGCAGCAUGGUGGCAAAGUCCAUGCAGCUGCCAGAAAGUGGUGGGGAGAGGCUGUGGGUAGUUGCACGCCAGCAGGGGCCCAUCCACAGAAGCUCUCCGAUGGUCAGGCAGGGUCUCCUGGGGUAGGAGCUACGGUGGCAGCCACCUGGAAGCACCUCGUUUGGGCAUCCAAGUCCGCACUGCAAGAAGGCAUGGCCAGGCAAGGACCCUGAGAGAUGCCAUCAGACCAGAGUGCUCGGAUUACACUGGCCCUGUCCCACUGUCAAGACAGCCCUGCUGUGUGCAGGUCUGACGGACAAUAAUGGCCAAAGCCACCUAGAGGAACACAGUGAGACUUGAGGGUUGAGCAUCUCUGGCUGCCCUCCACAGCAGCUGUUCCUGUGUCAAACCCUCUGGACUCUUCACAAGCUGGACUCCAGUCCCUGCCACCUCUCCAAGCAAUUCUCCCUGACAGCUCAAAUGUCCGUGGGGGUCAUGGGGUCUCCUGCAGCUAGGAUUCCAGAGGUCCGUGGUGAGAGUGGACCACUCCUUGCUUAGUUAGCCACCUCUUCCUCAGGAGAGAGUCCUGGUGCUCUACAAAGCCAGGCAACAUUCCCUGCUUUCUCUUGCAGCUUCAGCCCAGGGUGUGCCUUCCCUUCCUCUACUCUCAAUGCCUUCCUUAGGAAGAUCUGCUCAGAGUGUGCCAGCCUUCUUGAUGGUCUGGUCUCUCAGUGGGAGAUGCUCUUCCUGGCUGCAUCUAGUCAGCCAUCUUGGCUCUUCCUGUUUCCCCUUCUUUUAACAAGUCAUUAAAUAAAAUACUAUUCAACUACAGACAUGUUCCUGAUGCUACACAGGAGGGCACUGACAUAAAGCUAAGAAGAAUAACUACAGCUUCACAUAAACAAUAGGGAUCACUUUCACAAGCUUAAGCAUGAAUGUAUGAAGUCAGGCAGAAAAGAAUACAUACUGUAUGAUAACAUUUGUAUGAAAUUUAAGAACAGGCAACACUAAAUAAUGAUACAAAAAUUCACAGUAGUUAACUUUUGGGGACAUAAGUAGGAGGGGGCAUAAGAGGAGCCCAAAGGGUACAACAAAUGAUCUAUAUUAUGAUCUGGGUGGUUUUAUAUCAGUUUAUACAUAUGUAAAAAUUCAUCAGCUAUAUACUUGAGAUUUAUGCUCUUGACUAAUGAAUGCCAUACCUAAAAAAAAAAAAAAGUUCAAUAUACACAUGCACCUACAUAAAGGUACCUGCCCUCAAAGAACCCACAAUAACUUUUCCUGGACAGCUUGAGUUGCUUAACAAAUAUGAAUUUCUUAUUCUUGAGUAGUUUUAAAAAUUUACUAUAAUAAAUAGGACAAUAAAUUCAUAGAUUAGCUAUAUCAUCCAAGUUUCAAAAAGAGUUAAAUGAAAAAUAUUCAUAUACAUAUUUAUACAAAUCUAAAUUCCAUGUUGACAAUAAUUAUGUGUGAAGAAAUAAUGAAUUUCCAAAAGCUUCUAAAUGGUAUACUGAUCCAAAAUUAUCCUCUUAAGUGAAAUUUAUGUGGUUAACUGUUUUCCAAGAAUGUGGCAUGUCAUUGAGUGAUUAUUUUCCUGCAUUAUUAAAAUAUCAAUAUACCAUAACAUUUCCUUAUACUGAAAUUAUGUAAAUAACAGCAUUAAAUUCUUUUUUCUAUCUUUCUUGUUAAAUUAAUAUAUACACUAAAAUAAUGACACAUUUGUACACUAUAUUGUAGUAGCUAUUAAGUGCUAAAUAUAGUUUUAAAUAAUCAUAGAAAUAAAUACAAACACGGAAUUCUUUAUAAUAAAACAGCACAUAUUGGGUACUCAAUAAACAAUUGUAAAUGAACAAAAAUAAAGUUUACCACUUCUUCAUCUGACAGUUCACGCC
This 5065-nucleotide long non-coding RNA is filed under the name Homo sapiens (human). RNAcentral's name for it is "HSALNT0222987". Lineage: Eukaryota; Metazoa; Chordata; Mammalia; Primates; Hominidae. The record is from RNAcentral.